GGACAUGCCUCCCCAGUCGACUCUCCCCUUCUCCAGUGUGCAGGAACUGUGGCCAGGCAUGCGGCUCCAGCCGGAGACCGUAUUCCCCACCUUUCCUUCCCAGGAGUGGCCUGAGGGCUCUGUUCUAUAUGACGAGAUCUAAACAGAAAGACUAAAGCACACACAUAGCAUUUGGCCGGGCACAGUGGCUCACGCCUAUAAUCCCAGCACUUUGGGAGGCCGAGGCAAGCAGAUCACGACAUCAGGAGUUUGAGACCAGCCUGGCCAAUAUGGUGAAACGCUGUCUCUAAAUAAAAAUAGAAAAAAUUAGCCCAGCGUGGUGGCACACACCUGUAGUGCCAGCUACUCAGGAGGCUGAGGCAGAAGAAUCACUUGAACCCGGGAGGCAGAGGUUGCAGUGAGCUGAGAUGGUGCCACUGCACUCUAGCCUAAGCAACAGAGCAAGACUCUAUCUCAAAAAAAAAAGCAAAAAAUGAAAAUAAUAAACAAGAACUUAAAGCCAAGAAAAUUAUUCUAUAUUUGAGCUAAUACUUGUUUAAAUGAGGGUUAAGGUUUGGUUUUGUUUUCAAGUUUUGGAAAACUUAGUCUUAAAAACUGCUAGAAAGAGCUAAAUAAGUCAGCUCUGAGCCUGCUGCCUCUCCCUCUGCACUGGAUGUGAAAUGUAAAGCCUACAGAGGGACCUGGAUCUGCAUAUGCUCAUCAAGGCAGUCUGGAGUUCAAGGCACAGCUGCAUUUUCACAAGAAGCUUUCAUCUAAGCACUGACGUCAAUAAAAAUCACGACUGUUCACAAUCUGCAACACAAGGUUUCUUUGCUGAGAGCUUUUCCCAAAGCCUCUCUAACCAUGAAAGCUAUUUCAGGGCUGACACGCCACUAUCCAGGCAAGGAAAACACUGAGGUUUCCCCUUGCUCCAGGAUCAUCUUUGCGAUUUGGUGUUGUUCUUAACCUUCUCACCAUCAAUAUUUCAGCCUAAAUAAAAGUGCUUGAAAACAAUACCAUAUUAACAGACACAAUCAUGCUGACAACAAGCCUCCCAGCAGUGGCUUUUCCCUGACAGGCUGUGCGACAUCGGACUCACCACACAGAACAAGGGGGCAUGGGCCUGGUCCUGAUCCAUCACUGAUUCCCCUCUUCUCGCCCUCCCCACCCCCCACCAAUCACAGUCCCAGCCCCAUUUAAAUGGGAGAAACUGGAUUCUGUAGCUGAGCGCUGGGAGGAGAAGCAAGAGCAGCCUAGAGACCUCCUGUCCCUGCACCAGAGCCCUGGACAUGCAGUGCGCAGGCCACUGAUGGAGGCAGGCAUCCGUCCAGCUUUGCUGCCAACCCCUCUUACCUUUGUACCUGCCGUACAGCUGCUCCAGCUUCUUCUUGUCCACAGUGUUCCGCAUGGACUCCCUGUGGAAUGAGUCUGGGUUUUGGAAGAAGCUGUCCGUGGCCUCGUCUAGUCUCCACUCAUUCUGCGUUAAGCAGUAGAUAGCAGUUCUCUCGCCAGCCUGAGUGCAUGCCAUAAACUGGCGGACCUUGUCCCUCUGAGACGAUUUAAGCUUAUGCU
Molecule: non-coding RNA, 1551 nt
Organism: Callithrix jacchus (white-tufted-ear marmoset)
Lineage: Eukaryota; Metazoa; Chordata; Mammalia; Primates; Cebidae
Source: RefSeq, a predicted model, not a curated record